AGUGAACGCUGGCGGUAGGCCUAACACAUGCAAGUCGAACGGCAGCACAGUAAGAGCUUGCUCUUACGGGUGGCGAGUGGCGGACGGGUGAGGAAUACAUCGGAAUCUACUUUUUCGUGGGGGAUAACGUAGGGAAACUUACGCUAAUACCGCAUACGACCUACGGGUGAAAUCAGGGGAUCUUCGGACCUUGCGCGAUUGAAUGAGCCGAUGUCGGAUUAGCUAGUUGGCGGGGUAAAGGCCCACCAAGGCGACGAUCCGUAGCUGGUCUGAGAGGAUGAUCAGCCACACUGGAACUGAGACACGGUCCAGACUCCUACGGGAGGCAGCAGUGGGGAAUAUUGGACAAUGGGCGCAAGCCUGAUGCAGCCAUACCGCGUGGGUGAAGAAGGCCUUCGGGUUGUAAAGCCCUUUUGUUGGGAAAGAAAAGCAGCAGGUUAAUACCCCGCUGUUCUGACGGUACCCAAAGAAUAAGCACCGGCUAACUUCGUG
This 492-nucleotide ribosomal RNA is filed under the name uncultured bacterium. RNAcentral's name for it is "partial 16S ribosomal RNA". It matches the Rfam family "Bacterial small subunit ribosomal RNA", at positions 29 to 507 of the family's 1533-position model. The record is from RNAcentral.